Molecule: ribosomal RNA, 468 nt
Filed under: uncultured bacterium
Lineage: Bacteria
Description: partial 16S ribosomal RNA
Rfam family: Bacterial small subunit ribosomal RNA
Source: RNAcentral
GACGAACGCUGGCGGCGUGCUUAACACAUGCAAGUCGAACGGAAAGGCCCUGCUUUUGUGGUGUGCUCGAGUGGCGAACGGGUGAGUAACACGUGAGUAACCUGCCCUUGACUUUGGGAUAACUUCAGGAAACUGGGGCUAAUACCGGAUAGGAGCUCCUGCUGCAUGGUUGGGGUUUGAAAGUUUCGGCGGUUGGGGAUGGACUCGCGGCUUAUCAGCUUGUUGGUGGGGUAGUGGCUUACCAAGGCUUUGACGGGUAGCCGGCCUGAGAGGGUGACCGGCCACAUUGGGACUGAGAUACGGCCCAGACUCCUACGGGAGGCAGCAGUGGGGAAUAUUGCACAAUGGGCGGAAGCCUGAUGCAGCAACGCCGCGUGCGGGAUGACGGCCUUCGGGUUGUAAACCGCUUUCGCCUGUGACGAAGCGAGAGUGACGGUAAUGGGUAAAGAAGCACCGGCUAACUACGUG